Molecule: ribosomal RNA, 1339 nt
Filed under: metagenome
Description: SSU rRNA
Rfam family: Eukaryotic small subunit ribosomal RNA
Source: RNAcentral
AAUCCCGGCUCGGGGAGGUAGUGACAAAAAAUAACAAUGCGGGACUCUUAUGAGGCUUCGUAAUUGGAAUGAGUACAUUCUAAAUCCUUUAACGAGGAACUAUUGGAGGGCAAGUCUGGUGCCAGCAGCCGCGGUAAUUCCAGCUCCAAUAGCGUAUAUUAAAGUUGUUGCGUCUAAAAAGCUCGUAGUUUGAAAACUUGCCUUGGCUUACAACAGACGUCUAAGGGCGUCACCGUUUGUCGAGAGCAAAUAUGGGUGACUGUUCUUGCCUUCUUCACUGAUUGGCUCGUAAAAGUCAUCGAAGAUCACUUUGAUUAAAUUAGGGUGCUCAAAGCAAGUGUGCUACUUGAAUAUGAAUGCAUGGAAUGAUGGAAUAUGUUGUUGUUCUAUUUGUUGGUUUUUUGAAUGACGAAAUGAUUGAAAGGAACUGUUGGGGGCAUUCGUAUUGUUGUGAGAGAGGUGAAAUUCUUAGACCAUAGCAAGACGAACUACUGCGAAAGCAUUUGCCAAGAAUGUUUUCAUUGAUCAAGAACGAAAGUUAGAGGUUCGAAGGCGAUCAGAUACCGCCCUAGUUCUAACCAUAAACUAUGCCGACUAGCAAUUUGCUUUGUAUUUUUAUGACUAAGUGAGAGGCCACGGGAAACCAAAGUAGGGUUAUGGGGGAAGUAUGGUUGCAAAGCUGAAACUUAAAGGAAUUGACGGAAGGGCACCACCAGGAGUGGAGCCUGCGGCUUAAUUUGACCCAACACGGGAAAACUUACCUGGUCCUGACACUAGAAGGAUUGACAGAUUGAUAGCUCUUUCUUGAUUUGGUGGAUGGUGGUGCAUGGCCGUUCUUAGUUGGUGGAGUGAUUUGUCUGGUUAAUUCCGAUAACGAACGAGACUCUAGCCUAUUAAAUAAUAUGCGGAAUCAAUUUCUCCCGCGUUAUUUCUUAAUGGGAUCAAGCGUGUUUAACGCUUUGAAACAGAGCAAUAACAGGUCUGUGAUGCCCUUAGAUGUUCGGGGCUGCACGCGCGCUACAUUGAAGAACAAAGUGAGCCCUCUGGCUUUUAACAAAGCUAGAAAUCUUUUAAUGUUCUUCUUAAUGGGGAUAGGGGAUUGCAAUUGUGCCCCUUGAACGAGGAAUUCCCAGUAAGUGCUAGUCAUUAGCUAGUACUGAUUGCGUCCCUGCCCUUUGUACACACCGCCCGUCGCUACUACCGAUUGAAUAGUUUAGUGAGAUCAUCUGAGUGUUUGUAUGUGCAUUCUGUGCUUGUAUGGUGUACGAAGAAGAUCAAACUUGAUUAUUUAGAGGAAGUAAAAGUCGUAACAAGGUUUCCGUAGGUGAACCUGCGGAAG